RNAcentral lists this ribosomal RNA (230 nucleotides) under Bacillus sp. (in: firmicutes). Its description in RNAcentral is "Bacillus sp. (in: Bacteria) partial 16S ribosomal RNA". It matches the Rfam family "Bacterial small subunit ribosomal RNA", at positions 559 to 788 of the family's 1533-position model. Lineage: Bacteria; Bacillati; Bacillota; Bacilli; Caryophanales; Bacillaceae. The record is from RNAcentral.
CGUAAAGCGCGCGCAGGCGGUUUCUUAAGUCUGAUGUGAAAGCCCACGGCUCAACCGUGGAGGGUCAUUGGAAACUGGGGAACUUGAGUGCAGAAGAGAAAAGCGGAAUUCCACGUGUAGCGGUGAAAUGCGUAGAGAUGUGGAGGAACACCAGUGGCGAAGGCGGCUUUUUGGUCUGUAACUGACGCUGAGGCGCGAAAGCGUGGGGAGCAAACAGGAUUAGAUACCCC